AACGAACGCUGGCGGCAUGCUUUACACAUGCAAGUCGAACGGUAACAGGGUGCUUGCACCGCUGGCGAGUGGCGAACGGGUGAGUAAUGCGUCGGAACGUGCCGAGUAGUGGGGGAUAACGCAGCGAAAGUUGUGCUAAUACCGCAUACGUACUGAGGUAGAAAGUGGGGGACCUUCGGGCCUUACGCUAUUCGAGCGGCCGACGUCUGAUUAGCUAGUAGGUGAGGUAAAGGCUCACCUAGGCGACGAUCAGUAGCGGGUCUGAGAGGAUGAUCCGCCACACUGGGACUGAGACACGGCCCAGACUCCUACGGGAGGCAGCAGUGGGGAAUUUUGGACAAUGGGCGAAAGCCUGAUCCAGCCAUGCCGCGUGUCUGAAGAAGGCCUUCGGGUUGUAAAGACUUUUGUCAGGGAGGAAAUCCCUAGUGCUAAUAACACUGGGGGAUGACAGUACCUGAAGAAUAAGCACCGGCUAACUACGUGCCAGCCGCCGCAGUAA
RNAcentral lists this ribosomal RNA (499 nucleotides) under uncultured bacterium. RNAcentral describes it as "partial 16S ribosomal RNA". It matches the Rfam family "Bacterial small subunit ribosomal RNA", at positions 29 to 523 of the family's 1533-position model. The record is from RNAcentral.